This 490-nucleotide ribosomal RNA is filed under the name uncultured Parabacteroides sp. RNAcentral's name for it is "bacterial SSU rRNA". It matches the Rfam family "Bacterial small subunit ribosomal RNA", at positions 523 to 1015 of the family's 1533-position model. The record is from RNAcentral. Lineage: Bacteria; Pseudomonadati; Bacteroidota; Bacteroidia; Bacteroidales; Tannerellaceae.
AUACGGAGGAUCCGAGCGUUAUCCGGAUUUAUUGGGUUUAAAGGGUGCGUAGGCGGCCUUUUAAGUCAGCGGUGAAAGUCUGUGGCUCAACCAUAGAAUUGCCGUUGAAACUGGGAGGCUUGAGUAUGUUUGAGGCAGGCGGAAUGCGUGGUGUAGCGGUGAAAUGCUUAGAUAUCACGCAGAACCCCGAUUGCGAAGGCAGCCUGCCAAGCCAUGACUGACGCUGAUGCACGAAAGCGUGGGGAUCAAACAGGAUUAGAUACCCUGGUAGUCCACGCAGUAAACGAUGAUCACUAGCUGUUUGCGAUACAGUGUAAGCGGCACAGCGAAAGCGUUAAGUGAUCCACCUGGGGAGUACGCCGGCAACGGUGAAACUCAAAGGAAUUGACGGGGCCCGCACAAGCGGAGGAACAUGUGGUUUAAUUCGAUGAUACGCGAGGAACCUUACCCGGGUUUGAACGCAUUCGGACCGAGGUGGAAACACCUUUUC